AUACGUAGGGUGCGAGCGUUGUCCGGAAUUACUGGGCGUAAAGAGCUCGUAGGUGGUUUGUCGCGUCGUCUGUGAAAUUCCGGGGCUUAACUCCGGGCGUUCAGGCGAUACGGGCAUAACUUGAGUACUGUAGGGGAGACUGGAAUUCCUGGUGUAGCGGUGAAAUGCGCAGAUAUCAGGAGGAACACCGGUGGCGAAGGCGGGUCUCUGGGCAGUAACUGACGCUGAGGAGCGAAAGCAUGGGUAGCGAACAGGAUUAGAUACCCUGGUAGUCCAUGCCGUAAACGGUGGGCGCUAGGUGUAGGGGUCUUCCACGACUUCUGUGCCGUAGCUAACGCAUUAAGCGCCCCGCCUGGGGAGUACGGCCGCAAGGCUAAAACUCAAAGGAAUUGACGGGG
Molecule: ribosomal RNA, 398 nt
Filed under: uncultured bacterium
Lineage: Bacteria
Description: partial 16S ribosomal RNA
Rfam family: Bacterial small subunit ribosomal RNA
Source: RNAcentral